This 585-nucleotide ribosomal RNA is filed under the name Xylodon flaviporus. RNAcentral's name for it is "LSU rRNA". It matches the Rfam family "Eukaryotic large subunit ribosomal RNA", at positions 66 to 634 of the family's 3401-position model. The record is from RNAcentral. Lineage: Eukaryota; Fungi; Basidiomycota; Agaricomycetes; Hymenochaetales; Schizoporaceae.
UAACAAGGAUUCCCCUAGUAACUGCGAGUGAAGCGGGAAAAGCUCAAAUUUAAAAUCUGACAGUUUCACUGUCCGAGUUGUAAUCUGGAGAAGCAUUUUCCGUGUCGGACCGUGUACAAGUCUCUUGGAAUAGAGCGUCAUAGAGGGUGAGAAUCCCGUCCAUGACACGGACUACCGAUGCUUUGUGAUAUGCUCUCGAAGAGUCGAGUUGUUUGGGAAUGCAGCUCAAAAUGGGUGGUAAAUUCCAUCUAAAGCUAAAUAUUGGCGAGAGACCGAUAGCGAACAAGUACCGUGAGGGAAAGAUGAAAAGCACUUUGGAAAGAGAGUUAAACAGUACGUGAAAUUGUUGAAAGGGAAACGCUUGAAGUCAGUCGCGUUGAUUGAGACUCAGCCUUGCUUUGCAUGGUGUACUUCUCAGUUAACGGGUCAACAUCAAUUUCAGUUGGUGGAUAAAGGCAUUGGGAAUGUGGCACCUUCGGGUGUGUUAUAGACCUUUGUUGCAUACACUGACCGGGAUUGAGGAACGCAGCACGCCACUAAGGCCAGGGGUUCGCCCCAUGUAACGUGCUUAGGAUGUUGGCAUAA